This 92-nucleotide non-coding RNA is filed under the name Thiobacillus sp. RNAcentral's name for it is "Glycine sequence". It matches the Rfam family "Glycine riboswitch aptamer". From Rfam's summary of the family: This family represents the bacterial glycine riboswitch. Glycine riboswitches usually consist of two metabolite-binding aptamers domains with similar structures in tandem. RNAcentral also lists the same sequence under 1 other name. The record is from RNAcentral. Lineage: Bacteria; Pseudomonadati; Pseudomonadota; Betaproteobacteria; Nitrosomonadales; Thiobacillaceae.
CUUCCCGUUGCGGGAGAGCGCGGUUGCCCACAACCGCCGCCGAAGGCGCAAUUCACCCGGAAUCGCUCAGGCAAAAGGACCGCAACAACCGG